AAUACUCCUCGUCCUCUCUCAUUCCUCUUUUCUCUCUGCUCACCGAACCCAGAAAGAGAGAGACUCGAACCUUGUAUUUCUUUCUCCUCGAUGCAUUUUCACGAUAUUUUUAUUUCUCUCUCUCAUUCUACUUCAUUACACCGAUUAGUUAGAGUUUUUCUCAUUCCUCUUUUCUCUCUGCUCACCGAACCCAGAAAGAGAGACUCGAACCUUCUAUUUCUUUCUCCUCGAUCCAUUUUCACGGUAUUUUCAUUUCUCUCUCUCAUUCUACUUCAUUACACCGAUUAGUUAGAGUUUUUUUCUUCUUGCUUAUUUACUUCUUAAUUAUACACCGAUUUUGUAUUUCAUUUUUCGCGAUCUUUAUUAUUUUAUACUCAGAUUUGUCUAACUUUGCUCUUUUACCAAUUUCAUCACAAAAUAGAUUGUGGAUAACUAAUGAGUGAUCUGUGAUCUUUAUGAUGAAUCAUUCUAUCUGAAUCUGGUCUUCUACACUCUGGAUCUGAGAUCUUUUUUAACUAUUGUGUGUUUGUAGUAUCUAAAUAAUUUCGGUUUUGUUGAUUUGUUGACUGGAUUUACUGUCUGAUCUGUUAUUUUAAGUGAGAAUCUCGCUGUUUUUUCUCUAUAUCAUAUUAUAUACUAUUAAAGUGAUUUGAAAUUGGUUGAUUUAAAUAUAUAAUUCAUAUAACUUCUAAAUGAAAAUAAAAAUUUCCCUCUAUCAUGUGCAUAGUUGUGUCCACAAAUAAAUGGUUGCGAGGGCUCAGUUGUUACAUUUAUGGGAAUUGAACGUGCUCUCCAUGACAUCGACCACUAUUAAGACUUAUGCACAAUGUCAUUUGAGGAUUUUAUUUGGUCGAUUUAAUAAUCUUGUAAAGAAAUCGAUAAUAAUGUAAUCAUUUUGCUUUAUUUUUGCAUAGGUUGCUUAGGAUUUAUUGGGGGUGUUUUCCAAUUUUUAUCGUCUCAUUAGUUGGUGCUAUAUAUAUAUAGACACACACGAGACAAUCUCUUUUGAAAAAUAACUAAUUAUACACAUGUAAUUUCCAAAGUGGAAAUCAUUUCUUGAAAAUAAGUGGAAAAUCAUUUAUACUAUUAUUACAAUAUAUAAACAAGAUACGAAUUUUUGUUCAAUAGUGGAAGUUACACGUAUCAUAUACUUAGUAAGAAGAGGGCUAUUUCUGUAUUUAUUUAAUUUUUCUCUUUCC
RNAcentral lists this long non-coding RNA (1199 nucleotides) under Cicer arietinum (chickpea). RNAcentral's name for it is "long non-coding RNA (CARI_LNC002845)". The record is from RNAcentral. Lineage: Eukaryota; Viridiplantae; Streptophyta; Magnoliopsida; Fabales; Fabaceae.